GACCGUCAUCAUGUCUAAACUCAUCAAAGCUAUUAUUUUACCAGUUCAUGUCUAACUUUAGUUGGAAGUUAUGUUUGCAGUUACCAAAUAGUGGCAUGUUGUAAAAAUUGUUGUAGGUAGAUCCAGCCAUUACUAUCAAAGCUACUGGACAUCAAUGGUAUCGGAGUGUGCCGAGAGCAGUCAGUCCCCACCAAGGUCGAUUGUUUCCUCUGGUGGUAAACAGAAGGUCGUGAUGUGCUGCUUGGAUCCUUGGAACAUCAUGCUGCGUCGGUGGCAAAGACACUCAUCAGUUCCGAGUUCUGGCGUGGGCGUGGAUGUUCACGCCGAGCGGAGGAGCCUGAACUGAACAGCUGAACCCCUGAACGCCUGGCUGCUGGCCUUGGAUUCUAACCGGCCGACCAGAAAGGUUUGCUCCGGUUUUAUUUUUCAGCAAUGGGGGUCGAAAUUCUACUCCAACUCAGGUAUGCAUGUCAUGUCGCUUCUGUAUUCGGCAAUGCAUAUAUGUUCCAUGGAUACACCACACACAUGCCCAUCUUUUUUUUCAGACGAAGAAUGCAUGCUUUGUUUCAUCCUCAAAAUGUGCAUCAUGCUGUUCAUCAUCUUGUCCCAGUAGAAAAGUAUAGCACACGGUGCAGUACGGAAGCUAGUGAAGUACGUCCUCGUUGGAUUCUGGUUCUGGAACGCAUCGUGCUGCUCAUUGAUCAAUUGAUAUUGAAGAAGCAGAGAUUUUCCAUGGAGGAGGAGCCGAGGAGGAGGGGUCAUGGCUCAUGAGGCUCACGCACGCACGCACAUCGGAUGCCGCUGCGGCUGCGCGAUCUUUUGGCAGUGAGCAGCAGCCAGGAGGAGCAGUGGUUUGGUGGUACGCGGCUAGUACCGUAGCGUAGCGAGCAGCACGGCGAACCCAGUGGGGGCCCGGCCGUAGUCGUUUCUCUCUCACACAGGCAGCCCCAGCCUUGACCUUUUUACAUUGCUCGAGGCGGUGGUCUCGAGCUGCCGGCCGAGCCCGGAAGCCGGAGGACGGGAGGAAACUCCAAAACCCCGCCGUGUCAGGGGAGCUCGCGAGCUCCUCCUUUGGAGCACGAACGGAGAUACCGUUGGAUCCUCCAAUCGAAGCCAAGCCUCUGGUGUACUUUUACUGCGCAGAGUACGCAGUACAGGUGCUCGUACGCAUGUUGUUGCACGCGUUGUUAGACGAGAGGCCCGUUGUCCACAGCCUUCGGUGUUGGUGGUGCCAAGUGAGUGUAUAGUGUAACCUAUGUCAUCAUCCCCCCAAGUGUGUACCGCCUUCGUCCCGGCUAGUUUUAUCAGCAGUAGGAGGAGGAGGGAGUAGCAUGGACUGUGGUCGAGUGCAACGCCGUCCUACAGGGAGGCUAGGCUACGACGACGACGACGACACACACGGAUCCACCACCCGGGGCGGGGUGCGCCGGCCAUACGAGCCGAGCAGCAACCACUUGAAAGCGUCCGUGCCGUGCAUCUUAUCCGGGGCAGCGGCGGGCAGCCGACGGGAGAGCCCAACGGCCGGCUGGCCAUUAAUAUUCCCCCGUCCUCUCUCUCUCUCUCUCUGUGACUGUGUGCGCAUGAGCUCCGGAUGCCCUCGCUGCAUGGAAAGCUGUGAACAACUACUAGUCUAUGCGGCGGCCUUGCUCCUCUCUCUCUCUCUCUGCCUCUCUGGCGCUGCUCUGGAUGCCGCCUAGCUACUGCCGCGGCCUGGCCCUCUGGCCUACCCGUGCGCCGUGUCGCGCAGCGCGCACGCACGCUCGCUCACUCCCGUUCGCCGUUUCCCUUCCAGUGUGCUGCUGCGUCGUGUGGCCGCUGGUGCACCCGAUCCUGCUGCUCCACCCCCUCUGCUAGUAGUUGCUAGUGCUCCAACUCCAAACCACGCAUCGCGCUGGACUAAAAUAUUGAUCCUCGCGUGUCUGGCUUGGCUGAUAGCACUACCAUGCUGCUCAUAUGACAGUGGCUUGAGAAGAUGCUCCUCCUCCUGUAGUAUUAUGCAUGCAUGCUACACAAAACAAAGCUGGUAUUGGACCGGGUCUACGGGCAGAAGAUACGUACGUACAGAAAAUAUGCCAAGCUAUUUGUGUAAAAGGGUCAAAAGGUGAGGGGAAUAUCUCUUGUGGAUUACCAAAUAUAUCCGUUUGAUUGAUCUCUCCCUCCUUGCUUUUGCACCUUUGGUUGAACCUUUGCUUUCUUUUCUAGUUCCCUAGCAAAAUUCUCUCCUACCCCUUGUGUUGGUAAAGAAAAAAAGAAGAGGUUUUUCCCACAUCCACCGUAUUGCAUACGUAGAGAGGUUUUAAUGCCUGUUGCGCGAAGAUUUUUUACAGUCUGGGAGGAUGUGAAUGUGCCAUUCAAGGUUCGCAUCUACGCGCCGUACGUCCUUUUGGUGGUGUGCCAGUGGUACAGUCAAGCGUCUCCCUCUCCCAGCUCACCCUUUCUCCUCCUAGCUGAGCUGCCAGAUUAUCCCCCAACCAAUGUGGGAGUGCAAUCAUCACGGCAUCACCUUCCUUUAACUGCAAACGCCGUCCCCAAAAGCAAUGCCAUCUUCCUUCACAUUCAGAGCCCCGCCCUCGCCAGCUUCCAUUCCUUUCCUCGCCCAGAUGCUUGCUCGAGCUCGGCACUUGGGGGUCGGGAGCCUGACACCUUAAAAACAACGUCCUACCCAACCCAACCCAACCCAAGGGUACCUUCCAAGGCAGCCAUACAAGCUACUAAACCGCGGACGUUGCAAUGCUGCAACGUGCUGUUCAUUCGCACAAACAGCUCCUCCUCCAUCCAUCUCACGUCUCACAGCUGUUGCACCUGCUCUGACGCAUCAUUUGUUUCAAGUGUACUCUACAGAAGAAGAAAAAAGUACUUGGCAGCUUUGUAAGGUUAGGUUAGUACAAAGUCCAGAACAUUAUGUAAAUGGUAAUCGGAUGGAUAUGCAAGAUGCGGAGAAAAUCCCCGCCCUGGGCAUUGUGUGUACCGCUUGCGGUGAUCCAGCGUCUCCUGCCAGUUGUGGUCGUUGGACAGGGACAAACAGCACCGGACCAUGGUAGCCUUGCCUCCAGGACUUUGUACUCAUUCCUGCUCUGUGGCCGUAUCUUCCUCCUGUGUUGUCCGGUCUACUCGUAUCUCUACGGACCAUUGUACGCAUGCUACCUCUAGGUGUGUACUAACUGUUGGGUACGUUUUGGUUUCGCUCGUAUGCAUCGCUAGAUCGAGUGCACCGUCAGAUGGUGCACAGAGUGUUUCACGUACAUUUACAGUAGUUCAUGUAUUUGUAGGAGCCUAGGAGUCUUGUUGGAUUUACAUUUGAGGCUCUGUUUUCAUUUUUUUUUAAUGUACAACCGUGCAUAGUUUGUACUACUUGCUACAAGGUUUGUUUCGAGUGUUCUUUUCUGCCACAGAAUUGCUGGUUGGGUUGGUUCCAGCGAGACACCGAUACGUGCCGCAUGAGCUAGCAGCCAUCAUUGCGGGCAACAUGUAAAUGCAAUGCUGUUCCAACUGAAAAUGUCGAGCUGGGAGCUGGGAACGAACUGGAGUGACCGACCCUGACCAAAGAAACAAAGUUUUUUUUUAAAAAAAAAGAAAGAAAGGGAGAAGUCGUCGUUCUGCAGAGGAAGCUCUGCAAUAUUCUCUUGUCCAACGAUCAAACCUAAGCCCAGGAAGCAAACUCCCACAUGCUGAACAUCACCUGCUCGCUAGCUGCCAGAUAGUGGCAACCUGUCUUAACUAGAGUACAGGUGAGCAAGGAAAAAAAAAGAGAAGCUUUUAUAAAUAUUAUGAAUAGCAGUUCUACUUGUACAGUACAAGUGCUGAAUCCUGAAUGCACGCAGAGGAGGAGGACAGCUGCAGAAGGAGACGAUCGUUGGGACGCUGUGAAACGAGUUGUUUUCGCAUUUGAUUUCUUUGAAGAAAACAAACCAUUAAUGGGAUGCUUUGUGGGGGGGGUCCUGGGGAACAGCAACACCAGCUGUCUUGGCCUGCAUAUCAUUAGCAAGAGGGGGGGCCUUUUGUGCAAAAAAUGAUACUUCUUGGGGGGCCAAGGGCCAAAGGUGAGGUUUUUGCAAUCCGAUCCUCGACCCAGCUUCCAAGUCAAAAGGGCCGCCCGGGAAAGAGAAAGGGCUUGCUGGCUGUGGUUGGGCUGCUGCUGCUGCGGCAUGCCGGCAUCAUUGCGCAACCGGUGUCCUCUUUUCUGCUCUCGUUGGAAUCCAAGACGGUUUCUCUGUAAAGGGCAACACCAUGAGAAGAGAACACCAAAGUUCUUGGA
This is a long non-coding RNA of Setaria italica (foxtail millet), 4255 nucleotides long. RefSeq lists it as uncharacterized. The record is from RefSeq and is a predicted model, not a curated record. Lineage: Eukaryota; Viridiplantae; Streptophyta; Magnoliopsida; Poales; Poaceae. The transcript is spliced from 3 exons.